This 513-nucleotide ribosomal RNA is filed under the name uncultured bacterium. Its description in RNAcentral is "partial 16S ribosomal RNA". It matches the Rfam family "Bacterial small subunit ribosomal RNA", at positions 29 to 523 of the family's 1533-position model. The record is from RNAcentral.
AACGAACGCUGGCGGCGUGCCUAACACAUGCAAGUCGAGCGCGAAAGGAGCAAUCCGAGUAGAGCGGCGCACGGGUGCGUAACACGUGGAUAAUCUGCCCUUGAAUUCGGGAUAACCUUCCGAAGGGUUGGCUAAUACCGGGUAAGCUCACGGUGACUUCGGUCGCUGUGGGAAAAGUAGACCUCUGUUUACAAGUUUACGUUUGAGGAUGGGUCCGCGGCCCAUCAGCGAGUUGGCGGGGUAAUGGCCUACCAAGGCUACGACGGGUAGCUGGUCUGAGAGGACGAUCAGCCACACUGGAACUGAGACACGGUCCAGACUCCUACGGGAGGCAGCAGUGGGGAAUUUUCCACAAUGGGCGAAAGCCUGAUGGAGCAACGCCGCGUGUGUGAUGAAGGUCUUCGGAUCGUAAAGCACCUUCGACCGGGACGAAAAACCUCUGGCUAACAUCCAGGGGCCUGACGGUACCGGGAGAAGAAGCACCGGCUAACUCUGUGCCAGCAGCCGCCGUAA